This 67-nucleotide transfer RNA is filed under the name Mitjaevia dworakowskae. RNAcentral describes it as "tRNA-Ser". The record is from RNAcentral. Lineage: Eukaryota; Metazoa; Arthropoda; Insecta; Hemiptera; Cicadellidae.
AAGAAGUUAAUGAACAGAAACAGCUGCUAACUGAUUCCUGAAGCGGUUAAAUUCCGUUUGCUUCUUU